Molecule: long non-coding RNA, 151 nt
Organism: Sinocyclocheilus grahami
Lineage: Eukaryota; Metazoa; Chordata; Actinopteri; Cypriniformes; Cyprinidae
Exons: 3
Source: RefSeq, a predicted model, not a curated record
AUCCAGUUUGGAUGGGUGUUAUUGCUCCUCUCCCUGCUCUCAUCCAUGCUAGGCUGCAUGGAUGCGCAGAGAGUUCUUGUCCAGAACAAAACCAUACCGCCAAUCCAAACUGUAUGCUAAUUGUCAAUCAUCUUUGACGAUAGUGGUCCUG